Molecule: ribosomal RNA, 1371 nt
Filed under: uncultured bacterium
Lineage: Bacteria
Description: bacterial SSU rRNA
Rfam family: Bacterial small subunit ribosomal RNA
Source: RNAcentral
GAUAAACGCUGGCGGCGUGCCUAAUACAUGCAAGUCGAGCGAACGGACGAGAAGCUUGCUUCUCUGAUGUUAGCGGCGGACGGGUGAGUAACACGUGGAUAACCUACCUAUAAGACUGGGAUAACUUCGGGAAACCGGAGCUAAUACCGGAUAAUAUUUUGAACCGCAUGGUUCAAAAGUGAAAGACGGUCUUGCUGUCACUUAUAGAUGGAUCCGCGCUGCACUAGCUAGUUGGUAAGGUAACGGCUUACCAAGGCAACGAUGCAUAGCCGACCUGAGAGGGUGAUCGGCCACACUGGAACUGAGACACGGUCCAGACUCCUACGGGAGGCAGCAGUAGGGAAUCUUCCGCAAUGGGCGAAAGCCUGACGGAGCAACGCCGCGUGAGUGAUGAAGGUCUUCGGAUCGUAAAACUCUGUUAUUAGGGAAGAACAUAUGUGUAAGUAACUGUGCACAUCUUGACGGUACCUAAUCAGAAAGCCACGGCUAACUACGUGCCAGCAGCCGCGGUAAUACGUAGGUGGCAAGCGUUAUCCGGAAUUAUUGGGCGUAAAGCGCGCGUAGGCGGUUUUUUAGUCUGAUGUGAAAGCCCACGGCUCAACCGUGGAGGGUCAUUGGAAACUGGAAAACUUGAGUGCAGAAGAGGAAAGUGGAAUUCCAUGUGUAGCGGUGAAAUGCGCAGAGAUAUGGAGGAACACCAGUGGCGAAGGCGACUUUCUGGUCUGUAACUGACGCUGAUGUGCGAAAGCGUGGGGAUCAAACAGGAUUAGAUACCCUGGUAGUCCACGCCGUAAACGAUGAGUGCUAAGUGUUAGGGGGUUUCCGCCCCUUAGUGCUGCAGCUAACGCAUUAAGCACUCCGCCUGGGGAGUACGACCGCAAGGUUGAAACUCAAAGGAAUUGACGGGGACCCGCACAAGCGGUGGAGCAUGUGGUUUAAUUCGAAGCAACGCGAAGAACCUUACCAAAUCUUGACAUCCUUUGACAACUCUAGAGAUAGAGCCUUCCCCUUCGGGGGACAAAGUGACAGGUGGUGCAUGGUUGUCGUCAGCUCGUGUCGUGAGAUGUUGGGUUAAGUCCCGCAACGAGCGCAACCCUUAAGCUUAGUUGCCAUCAUUAAGUUGGGCACUCUAAGUUGACUGCCGGUGACAAACCGGAGGAAGGUGGGGAUGACGUCAAAUCAUCAUGCCCCUUAUGAUUUGGGCUACACACGUGCUACAAUGGACAAUACAAAGGGCAGCGAAACCGCGAGGUCAAGCAAAUCCCAUAAAGUUGUUCUCAGUUCGGAUUGUAGUCUGCAACUCGACUACAUGAAGCUGGAAUCGCUAGUAAUCGUAGAUCAGCAUGCUACGGUGAAUACGUUCCCGGGUCU